GCCAGGCGCUGUGGUGCACACCUGUAAUCCCAGCAGCUUGGGAGGCUAAGGCAGGAGGAUCACGAAUUCAAAGUCAGCCUCAGCAAAAGCGUGGCACUAAGCAACUCAGUGAGACCCUGUCUCUA
This 125-nucleotide small RNA is filed under the name Marmota monax (woodchuck). The record is from RNAcentral. Lineage: Eukaryota; Metazoa; Chordata; Mammalia; Rodentia; Sciuridae.